GGAAUGGAUACCCAGCGGGAAGCUGGGCAAGCCUCCGGUUCUGGCCAUUGAAUCGAUCCUUCCAAGACGCUCGCGAUAAUGUAUCUGUUAUUCCCGGCGAGAAACUUGAGUCAGUUCAGCAAGUUCCUAGAGCAAAUCUGAUGUGGAUGGUUGGCCUGAACUCCAGGGGACAAACAUUAAAGAUAGAACAGCUCGCUGCCAGCAGAGCACCCAGCCUUGCGAGACGUGAUGUGGUCUCACACGCUGAUGCUGAACAUGGGUGUCAAAAGGACUCAAGCCCUGCACAAAAGGACCAACUCUCCUUGUUAGGAAGAAGCACAAGAUUUGUGGGCACAACUGCUGUCAUUCCCACCUAUUUUUGUUCCCCAUUUCCAUAUCGUCUCCUGCAUCUCUGCUGCAACAUCAGGGAGCUGUUCUCGUGCAGAGUCUAGACAGAUAGCACAUAUUGGAAUUAGCAUGAGGAAUUUGGAACGAGGUUUGUUUACCAGCCUGCAGUUCUAUGUCCUUAUCUGAACCAAGCUGCUCACGCUUCUGAGCAUUGCUUCAGGCAUUGCUGCUCAUCACAAAGUUCUCCCUCCAGACGAGGCACAUUGCUCUCAAUUUAUAAGUUACCAAACACAUUUGAAAUGGAACAAUAUUGGAACAGGCUAACAAAAGAAGUACAACAACUAUUCAAGGUUUCACAAUUCAGCUCACUUACUUUCUUCAAAAGGAAGGUUAGAGAGGAAUACGUUGAUGUUCUUGCAUGUCUAUUUGAGCAGAAGAGGAUAAGGGCUAUUGGAACCAGAUAAAAUACAAGAUUCAGCAGCUGAAACUGUAAAAAUUCAGGUUAGAACUCAGAAGUGUAUUUUUUCAGAGUGAAGGUAAACCAUUUAGCCAGCCAAUACACAAUCACUGACUGUCACUUGAAGCCUUCAAUUCAGCAUUGGAUAUUCUUCAAAAAUACAUUUUCUAUGAUCCCACACAGAUCCUGAAGAACCAUACAAAACACAGAUUGACGAUCUGCAAGCUGAAUUGUGCAAACAACCUGACUAGAUGAUUUUAACCUUUUUGUCCUUCACAAUUUAAAAAUACUUUGUAUUUUAGUACUGAGCAUGUGAACAAUUCCUUUUUUCUUUACUAAUUUUAUUGACUGCAACAGGAGAACUGAAUGGCUUGAAUUUGAGCAUGGGAUUAUGUCUUAUACUGACACAAGACCACUGUUAGAAUUGUAGGAGGUUACAGAUGUCAUUCUCUAAGUAAAGUUGAUCAUACAGCAGCUAAAACUCCUAUAGCUCUCUCAAGAAGAACAGGGAACAUUGCCCAGCUCUCGAUGACUCUCAGGAAACCCUCUUUAGAGAUGUGGAUCUGCCUAACAGCUGAAAGUAAGCCACUCUGUACAGGAUCUAUUAUAAUC
Melospiza melodia melodia is the source of this 1396-nucleotide long non-coding RNA. RefSeq lists it as uncharacterized. The record is from RefSeq and is a predicted model, not a curated record. Lineage: Eukaryota; Metazoa; Chordata; Aves; Passeriformes; Passerellidae. The transcript is spliced from 2 exons.